CUGGCGCCCAGUCCCGGGGAGAGGCAGAUGUGUCUGAGCGAGGGCUGGGACCCCGGAGGAGCCAGGAACAGGAGAAUCCCGGAGGCUUUACCGAGCACCUGCUGUGUGCGGGGCCCCUGCGAGCCGGUGCUGGGGCCAGCUGCUGGGCCGCGCGCCUGUCUUGCCCGGCUGGGUAUUGAUGGAAAACCGAUGAAAAUGGACAGUUCAGAAAAGAACAAAGAAAAUGAAUACCAUCCACGGUCUCUUCCCCCAGAGAGAGUCACUGUUAAUAACUUAAAUAGUUUAAGGAGCUGCCUAGAAAAAUCUCCAUCAGUAUUCAUGUUUGGGGGACACCCUCAUCUGCACCUGACAGAGGUUGAUGGUGGUCCCUGA
RNAcentral lists this long non-coding RNA (372 nucleotides) under Canis lupus dingo (dingo). Its description in RNAcentral is "lncRNA (ENSCAFG00020012170.1)". The record is from RNAcentral. Lineage: Eukaryota; Metazoa; Chordata; Mammalia; Carnivora; Canidae.